AAUUCGAGCUCGGUACCCGGGGAUCCUCUAGAGAUUAGAGUUUGAUCCUGGCUCAGGAUGAACGCUAGCGGCAGGCCUAACACAUGCAAGUCGAGGGGUAGAGUUCUUCGGGACUUGAGACCGGCGCACGGGUGCGUAACGCGUAUGCAAUCUACCUUAUACAGGGGAAUAGCCCAGAGAAAUUUGGAUUAAUGCCCCAUAGUGUUAUAGAAUCGCAUGGUUUUAUAACUAAAGUUCCAACGGUAUAAGAUGAGCAUGCGUCCCAUUAGUUAGUUGGUAAGGUAACGGCUUACCAAGACAAUGAUGGGUAGGGGUCCUGAGAGGGAGAUCCCCCACACUGGUACUGAGACACGGACCAGACUCCUACGGGAGGCAGCAGUGAGGAAUAUUGGUCAAUGGGCGCAAGCCUGAACCAGCCAUGCCGCGUGCAGGAAGACGGUCCUAUGGAUUGUAAACUGCUUUUAUACAGGAAGAAACCUCCCUACGUGUAGGGACUUGACGGUACUGUAGGAAUAAGGAUCGGCUAACUCCGUGCCAGCAGCCGCGGUAAUACGGAGGAUCCAAGCGUUAUCCGGAAUCAUUGGGUUUAAAGGGUCCGUAGGCGGCCUUAUAAGUCAGUGGUGAAAUCUCCUAGCUCAACUAGGAAACUGCCAUUGAUACUGUAAGGCUUGAAUUUUUGUGAAGUAACUAGAAUAUGUAGUGUAGCGGUGAAAUGCUUAGAUAUUACAUGGAAUACCAAUUGCGAAGGCAGGUUACUAACAAACGAUUGACGCUGAUGGACGAAAGCGUGGGGAGCGAACAGGAUUAGAUACCCUGGUAGUCCACGCCGUAAACGAUGGAUACUAGCUGUUCGGAGCAAUCUGAGUGGCUAAGCGAAAGUGAUAAGUAUCCCACCUGGGGAGUACGCACGCAAGUGUGAAACUCAAAGGAAUUGACGGAAUCGUCGACCUGCAGGCAUGCAAGCUGCACGCGAGGCC
RNAcentral lists this ribosomal RNA (977 nucleotides) under uncultured bacterium. RNAcentral's name for it is "bacterial SSU rRNA". It matches the Rfam family "Bacterial small subunit ribosomal RNA", at positions 1 to 958 of the family's 1533-position model. The record is from RNAcentral.